GGCCCCAUCGUCUAGGGGUUAGGACACUAGCUUUUCAAGCUAAGAACCGGGGUUCGAUUCCCCGUGGGGCUA
Molecule: transfer RNA, 72 nt
Filed under: candidate division WOR-1 bacterium RIFOXYA12_FULL_52_29
Lineage: Bacteria; Bacillati
Also listed under: 5 other names
Description: tRNA-Glu
Rfam family: tRNA
About the family: Transfer RNA (tRNA) molecules are approximately 80 nucleotides in length. Their secondary structure includes four short double-helical elements and three loops (D, anti-codon, and T loops). Further hydrogen bonds mediate the characteristic L-shaped molecular structure. tRNAs have two regions of fundamental functional importance: the anti-codon, which is responsible for specific mRNA codon recognition, and the 3' end, to which the tRNAs corresponding amino acid is attached (by aminoacyl-tRNA synthetases). tRNAs cope with the degeneracy of the genetic code in two manners: having more than one tRNA (with a specific anti-codon) for a particular amino acid; and 'wobble' base-pairing, i.e. permitting non-standard base-pairing at the 3rd anti-codon position.
Source: RNAcentral